This 362-nucleotide unclassified non-coding RNA is filed under the name uncultured bacterium. RNAcentral's name for it is "contains 16S-23S intergenic spacer region". The record is from RNAcentral.
UCCCCCGUGAGGGGGCAGUCUCGCCUGACACAUAUAACAGGCAACGAGGGUUGCGUUCGUUUCCCCACUUAAGGGAACAACUCAAGCCACGAACUGACGACGGCCAUGCAUCACCUGUCCAACACCCUCGAAGGAACUCUGGUUUCCCAGAGCGUGCAGUUGGAUUUCUAAUCUUGAUAAGGUUCUUCGCUUAGCUACGAAUUAAGCCACAUGAUCCACCGCUUGUGCGAGUCCCCGUCUAUUCCUUUGAGUUUUAGCCUUGCGGCCGUACUACCCAGGCGGCUCGCUUACCGCGUUAGCUUCGCCUCGGAGAGGGUCGAUACUCCCCAAAGCCAGCGAGCAACGUUUAGGGCGUGGACUAC